Molecule: ribosomal RNA, 465 nt
Filed under: Vreelandella stevensii
Lineage: Bacteria; Pseudomonadati; Pseudomonadota; Gammaproteobacteria; Oceanospirillales; Halomonadaceae
Description: partial 16S ribosomal RNA
Rfam family: Bacterial small subunit ribosomal RNA
Source: RNAcentral
CCUACGGGUGGCAGCAGUGGGGAAUAUUGGACAAUGGGGGCAACCCUGAUCCAGCCAUGCCGCGUGUGUGAAGAAGGCCCUCGGGUUGUAAAGCACUUUCAGUGAGGAAGAACGCCUGGUGGUUAAUACCCAUCAGGAAAGACAUCACUCACAGAAGAAGCACCGGCUAACUCCGUGCCAGCAGCCGCGGUAAUACGGAGGGUGCGAGCGUUAAUCGGAAUUACUGGGCGUAAAGCGCGCGUAGGUGGCUUGAUAAGCCGGUUGUGAAAGCCCCGGGCUCAACCUGGGAACGGCAUCCGGAACUGUCAAGCUAGAGUGCAGGAGAGGAAGGUAGAAUUCCCGGUGUAGCGGUGAAAUGCGUAGAGAUCGGGAGGAAUACCAGUGGCGAAGGCGGCCUUCUGGACUGACACUGACACUGAGGUACGAAAGCGUGGGUAGCAAACAGGAUUAGAUACCCUAGUAGUC